This 483-nucleotide ribosomal RNA is filed under the name uncultured bacterium. RNAcentral's name for it is "partial 16S ribosomal RNA". It matches the Rfam family "Bacterial small subunit ribosomal RNA", at positions 28 to 523 of the family's 1533-position model. The record is from RNAcentral.
AAUGAACGUUGGCGGCGUGGAUUAGGCAUGCAAGUCGAGCGAUAACCGUAGCAAUACGGGGACAGCGGCGAAAGGGAGAGUAACGCGUGGAUAAUCUACUCCCGGGACUGGGAUAGCCGCGGGAAACUGCGGGUAAUACCGGAUAAUGCCUUCGGACCAAGGAUGCGAUUCCGCCCGGGGAUGAGUCCGCGUCCUAUUAGCUAGGUGGUGGGGUAAUGGCCUACCAAGGCGAAGAUGGGUACGGGGUGUGAGAGCAUGCCCCCGCUCACUGAGACUGAGACACUGCCCAGACACCUACGGGUGGCUGCAGUCGAGAAUCUUCGGCAAUGGGCGCAAGCCUGACCGAGCGACGCCGCGUGCGGGAUGAAGGCCUUCGGGUUGUAAACCGCUGUCGGAGGGGAGGAAAUGCACGGGGGUUCUCCCUCGUGUUUGACCUAGCCUCAGAGGAAGGACGGGCUAAGUUCGUGCCAGCAGCCGCGGUAA